This 338-nucleotide ribosomal RNA is filed under the name Strongyloides sp. DNUS-2012-09-11-SM136. RNAcentral's name for it is "LSU rRNA". It matches the Rfam family "Eukaryotic large subunit ribosomal RNA", at positions 123 to 457 of the family's 3401-position model. The record is from RNAcentral. Lineage: Eukaryota; Metazoa; Nematoda; Chromadorea; Rhabditida; Strongyloididae.
AUUACAUUCGUAAUAUCGAAAUGUCGUGUAUAGGUUUUAUUAUUAUUGAUAUAAUAUUAUUAAAUAAUUGUAUUUAAAUAUACAGCCACAGAAGGUGCCAGCCCUGUUGUUUAAUAAUAUUUAUCAAAUUUAUAAAACUUUAGAGUCGUGUUGCUUGGAAGUGCAGCGCAAAGUUGGUGAUAAACAUCAUCUAAGGCUAAAUAUUCCUAUGAAUCCGAUAGCGAACAAGUACUGUGAAGGAAAAUUGCAAAGUACUCCGGAGAGAGAGUUAAAGAGGACGUGAAACCGAUACGAUGGAAGCAUACAGAGCCAGUUGCACUAUUAUUAAUUAAUAUUAA